Long non-coding RNA from Meriones unguiculatus (Mongolian gerbil), 1793 nucleotides. RefSeq lists it as uncharacterized. NCBI's taxonomy places the organism in Eukaryota, Metazoa, Chordata, Mammalia, Rodentia, Muridae. The record is from RefSeq and is a predicted model, not a curated record. The transcript is spliced from 5 exons.
CUCACAUACAAACAGCUGCUGACUGCUUCCUGUCCAGAGGCCCCGCAGCUGCCGCGUGGAUCUCAAAUGCCCCCCAAUCAAGCAGGAAGGCUACUGACCCCCACUCCCACACCGGGAUGGCAGAGUCAGGGUUAGGCCCAAGCUGCUGAGACAGAAUUAAAAGGGGCUGCUGCCAGUGAUGAGGGCUCAGGUCUCCAUAAAGAAGCGUUCUCCAGCCUAGCACCUUGUGCGGACACCCUGGCUCCAGAUCCCUUGGGAAGACCCAGUUGUUCAAGUGAGGUUUGGAUGUCUGAGACUUUGUCCCAUUUGGCUCAGCUGUGGAGUCUAGUGUUUUCCUCUGGAGUCCUUAAGCAGAAAUCAAAACCGCCUCCCCACAAGGAGACCAACAAAGCUGAAAAAUCUGAGCCUAGAUGGUCCUGCAGAGACAGAUGCACCAACUAAGGAUAAUGCAUGGAGAGGAACUGCUCAGAUGAAGCUGAUUGGCAGCUCAGUCUCCAUGUGGGUUCCCUAGUAAGGGGAGCAGUUGCAGUUGCUGCCUCUGUCAUGAACUUGGUUGCCUGCUCUUUGAUCACUUGGCCCUGGAGAUGCGGCCUUACCAGGCCACAGAGGAAGAAGAUCCAGGCAGUCCUGAUGAGACUUGUAAUGGCCACUGUCUUAUGCCUCUAAACUUGGAGUGACCAGAGUAUCUGCUAAGAAGACAGGAACUUCCAGCUGAUGUAUAAAUCCUGUGGAAGAAUAUAUAGUUUGCUGUGCAGUUGACUGGGGUUUACUGUGAGGCCAGAUCAUUAUGUUUAUUGGUGACAAUCUUGAAAAAGUUGUCAAGACCCCAGCCUCAGCUGCCUUCACUGAGCCCUUCUAAGUGCCUCACAGCCAUGGCAAUAUGUUGAGUAUCUGUGGAGAGUCCACAGGUUAUCAGCUCCUCUCUGGAACUGAUCUUGUGAUCUCUAAGAGGAUGUCAUCCUCGAAAGAAUGCCCAGUCAACAUUCCUACAUUGGCUGCAAAAUCAAGGUCUUCAACCAGACUUUGACACUUGAGAACUGCUCUCAGGGACAGUCUCCACAUUUCCGGCCUCUUGUCUAUGGCGACUUCAGACUUCUUACCCCAGGGCCUGGACAACAUGUUGAUUGUUUUGUUAGAGACUAGUUUGUACCAAAGGUUGUACCAGUCACACUCCACUAAUGAGAAACAAUGUGGAGACAAGAUCAGCCUGGUCCAGGAAGCUAGCCUAGCUGGUAACAACCUUGUUAAAGCGCCCGGUAAAUAAAUAAGCAAGCCUUCCAGGCUGUCCUGUCCUCUGCAGAUGAGCUGAACCAGCUGGCCUCAGAGAGAAGCCCUGUGUUUUGUUAACUGGAAACAGAUUAUCAAACUCAAUCAAUGGAGCAUGAAUGGAGCAUGGCCUUGUAACGUAUAAAAAAGAGAAUUUGGGGUGAGAAUUUGUUCAGCAAAGACCAGGCAGCAGAUGUCCCAAAGCUUGGCAUGAAAGUGUUCUGAUGGGUAAAAAUAAUUAAAAAGAAAUCUGGGACUCUCAUUUUUUAACUUUCCUUAUGGAUCUUUGACAAAAAUUUCAGGGGAUUCUAUGGAGUGUGUAUUGUCAGUAUUUUAAUCAGCUUCAGCUGUCAAAACUCUUGUAACCCGCCUCUUCUAUUUAAACUGUAUCUUCUAGGCAUAAAAUAAUUAAAGGCGCAGGGCCAUACAGUAGCUCAGAGCCCUUGCAAUGUGGCAGAACUGUAUGGAUAAAAGGUAUUAUUUCAGGAAGUUUUAAAUAUAAAUUUCGUUUUGUCAGAAGGCUGCAG